ACUUUAUACUGUGAAACUGCGAAUGGCUCAUUAAAUCAGUUAUCGUUUAUUUGAUAGUACCUUACUACAUGGAUACCUGUGGUAAUUCUAGAGCUAAUACAUGCUGAAAACCUCGACUUCGGAAGGGGUGUAUUUAUUAGAUAAAAAACCAAUGCCCUUCGGGGCUCCUUGGUGAAUCAUAAUAACUUAACGAAUCGCAUGGCCUUGCGCCGGCGAUGGUUCAUUCAAAUUUCUGCCCUAUCAACUUUCGAUGGUAGGAUAGUGGCCUACCAUGGUGGCAACGGGUAACGGGGAAUUAGGGUUCGAUUCCGGAGAGGGAGCCUGAGAAACGGCUACCACAUCCAAGGAAGGCAGCAGGCGCGCAAAUUACCCAAUCCCGACACGGGGAGGUAGUGACAAUAAAUACUGAUACGGGGCUCUUUUGGGUCUCGUAAUUGGAAUGAGUACAAUCUAAAUCCCUUAACGAGGAACAAUUGGAGGGCAAGUCUGGUGCCAGCAGCCGCGGUAAUUCCAGCUCCAAUAGCGUAUAUUAAAGUUGUUGCAGUUAAAAAGCUCGUAGUUGAACCUUGGGUCUGGCUGGCCGGUCCGCCUCACCGCGAGUACUGGUCCGGCUGGACCUUUCCUUCUGGGGAAUCUCAUGGCCUUCACUGGCUGUGGGGGGAACCAGGACUUUUACUGUGAAAAAAUUAGAGUGUUCAAAGCAGGCCUUUGCUCGAAUACAUUAGCAUGGAAUAAUAGAAUAGGACGUGCGGUUCUAUUUUGUUGGUUUCUAGGACCGCCGUAAUGAUUAAUAGGGAUAGUCGGGGGGCGUCAGUAUUCAGCUGUCAGAGGUGAAAUUCUUGGAUUUGCUGAAGACUAACUACUGCGAAAGCAUUCGCCAAGGAUGUUUUCAUUAAUCAGGGAACGAAAGUUAGGGGAUCGAAGACGAUCAGAUACCGUCGUAGUCUUAACCAUAAACUAUGCCGACUAGGGAUCGGACGGUGUUUCUAUUAUGACCCGUUCGGCACCUUACGAGAAAUCAAAGUUUUUGGGUUCUGGGGGGAGUAUGGUCGCAAAGCUGAAACUUAAAGAAAUUGACGGAAGGGCACCACCAGGCGUGGAGCCUGCGGCUUAAUUUGACUCAACACGGGGAAACUCACCAGGUCCAGACAAAAUAAGGAUUGACAGAUUGAGAGCUCUUUCUUGAUCUUUUGGAUGGUGGUGCAUGGCCGUUCUUAGUUGGUGGAGUGAUUUGUCUGCUUAAUUGCGAUAACGAACGAGACCUCGGCCCUUAAAUAGCCCGGUCCGCAUUUGCGGGCCGCUGGCUCUUAGGGGACUAUCGGCUCAAAGCCAAAAAAUC
This 1339-nucleotide ribosomal RNA is filed under the name Aspergillus niger. RNAcentral's name for it is "SSU rRNA". It matches the Rfam family "Eukaryotic small subunit ribosomal RNA", at positions 71 to 1443 of the family's 1831-position model. Lineage: Eukaryota; Fungi; Ascomycota; Eurotiomycetes; Eurotiales; Aspergillaceae. The record is from RNAcentral.